This 633-nucleotide ribosomal RNA is filed under the name Limosilactobacillus oris. RNAcentral describes it as "bacterial SSU rRNA". It matches the Rfam family "Bacterial small subunit ribosomal RNA", at positions 385 to 1009 of the family's 1533-position model. The record is from RNAcentral. Lineage: Bacteria; Bacillati; Bacillota; Bacilli; Lactobacillales; Lactobacillaceae.
GAUGGAGCAACACCGCGUGAGUGAAGAAGGGUUUCGGCUCGUAAAACUCUGUUGUUGGAGAAGAACGUGCGUAAGAGUAACUGUUUACGCAGCGACGGUAUCCAACCAGAAAGUCACGGCUAACUACGUGCCAGCAGCCGCGGUAAUACGUAGGUGGCAAGCGUUAUCCGGAUUUAUUGGGCGUAAAGCGAGCGCAGGCGGUUGCUUAGGUCUGAUGUGAAAGCCUUCGGCUUAACCGAAGAAGUGCAUCGGAAACCGGGCGACUUGAGUGCAGAAGAGGACAGUGGAACUCCAUGUGUAGCGGUGGAAUGCGUAGAUAUAUGGAAGAACACCAGUGGCGAAGGCGGCUGUCUGGUCUGCAACUGACGCUGAGGCUCGAAAGCAUGGGUAGCGAACAGGAUUAGAUACCCUGGUAGUCCAUGCCGUAAACGAUGAGUGCUAGGUGUUGGAGGGUUUCCGCCCUUCAGUGCCGAAGCUAACGCAUUAAGCACUCCGCCUGGGGAGUACGACCGCAAGGUUGAAACUCAAAGGAAUGGACGGGGGCCCGCACAAGCGGUGGAGCAUGUGGUUUAAUUCGAAGCUACGCGAAGAACCUUACCAGGUCUUGACAUCUUGCGCCAACCUCAGAGAUGA